Alnus glutinosa is the source of this 105-nucleotide small nucleolar RNA. The record is from RefSeq and is a predicted model, not a curated record. Lineage: Eukaryota; Viridiplantae; Streptophyta; Magnoliopsida; Fagales; Betulaceae.
ACAGCAUGAUGUGGACACUUUCGUAAAGGUCCUUCAUCCUCUCCCAAGUUUCAUGAAAAGGUUCUCCCUCUAUUUGCGAAAAGCUAGUAAUGUCUCUUCGUAUUU